RNAcentral lists this ribosomal RNA (1275 nucleotides) under Stenacron interpunctatum. RNAcentral's name for it is "16S ribosomal RNA". It matches the Rfam family "Bacterial large subunit ribosomal RNA", at positions 540 to 2776 of the family's 2925-position model. The record is from RNAcentral. Lineage: Eukaryota; Metazoa; Arthropoda; Insecta; Ephemeroptera; Heptageniidae.
GAUAAAAUCCUAGCAGCAGUUGUAAGAAGAGUGACUUCGUUAGGAAAACCAAUUUGAGAGAAUGAGUUUAUAGAGGGUAUCGAGUGAAUAGUAGAAGCGAUAGGAAAGUACUGAGAAGGAAAGGUGAGAUAGCUGUAAAUCAGGGGAAAGUAGACUAAGUGUUGUACCUUUUGUAUCAGGGCUCAUCAAAUACAUUGGAGAAUUCUGAAAUCCCGAUGCAAAGAGAGCUAUCAGGAUAAUCCAGUUACUGUGGUAACAUUAUUGGGCAUGUGCUGAUAGGAAUGAAACAUUAGACGAUCUUUGGGGUAUCUGGUUUCUUAAGAGAUGAAUUUAAUUCAGGGACCCUUAGAGGUUUCACUAUUUGGGUGGGACUUUAGAGGGCACCUAAUACGAAGGGGGAUAAGCUCCUUGGUAUCCUAAAAAUGGGAGAGAUCUGAAAAUAGGUAGGGUUGAAAGUAUCCAUCCUUUAAAAGAUGUUACAGUUUAUUUUCAGGGAAUCGAAAUUUUAAUUCUUUUAGGGGGCUAUUAAGAACUUACCUUUAACUGAAGGGUAAAAUAUAAUGAUGGGAUAAGUAAUAGUACCACAAAUCCAAAUCCCGAUAAGGAACUCGGCAAAUUUAAUGCUCGCCUGUUUAUCAAAAACACCGCCUCUCGAUGUUUAUGGGAGGUCUAGCCUGCCCACUGAAGGAGUUAAAGGGCCGCGGUAUUUUGACCGUGCAAAGGUAGCAUAAUCAUUAGUCUUCUAAUUAAAGGCUGGAAUGAAUGGCUGGACGAGGUAUUAGCUGUCUCUUUGGGAGAGGUUUGAAUUUAACUUUCUAGUGAAAAGGCUGGGAUAGUAUUGGAGGACGAGAAGACCCUAUAGAGCUUUACAUUUACUGUUACUUUAAUUGGUUUGGUUGGAGUUAGAUUUUGUGGCAGGAGUGUUUCGUUGGGGUGACGGGAAGAAAUAAGGAACUCUUCUUGGGAUGAACCACAAAUUAGUGAAUAAUUGAUCCAUUUGUAGUGAUUAGAAGACUAAGUUACCUUAGGGAUAACAGCGUAAUCUUUUUUGAGAGUUCUAAUCGACAAGAAGGGUUGCGACCUCGAUGUUGGACUAAGGAUGAUUCUUGGGUGCAGAAGUUCAAGGUUUAGGUCUGUUCGACCUUUGAAUCCUUACAUGAUCUGAGUUCAGACCGGCGUAAGCCAGGUCGGUUUCUAUCCUCAAUAAGGGGAAGUAUUUUAGUACGAAAGGACCAAAUACUGGGGAUAAUCUUCUAGCAGGGAAUACCAUUAACA